UCGGGAAUUUUGGGCAAUGGGCGAAAGCCUGACCCAGCAACGCCGCGUGAAGGAUGAAGUAUUUCGGUAUGUAAACUUCGAAAGAAUAGGAAGAAUAAAUGACGGUACUAUUUAUAAGGUCCGGCUAACUACGUGCCAGCAGCCGCGGUAAUACGUAGGGACCAAGCGUUGUUCGGAUUUACUGGGCGUAAAGGGCGCGUAGGCGGCAAUUCAAGUCAUCUGUGAAAUCUCCGGGCUUAACUCGGAACGGUCAGAUGAUACUGCUUUGCUAGAGUGCAGAAGGGGCAAUCGGAAUUCUUGGUGUAGCGGUGAAAUGCGUAGAUAUCAAGAGGAACACCUGAGGUGAAGACGGGUUGCUGGGCUGACACUGACGCUGAGGCGCGAAAGCCAGGGGAGCAAACGGGAUUAGAUACCCAGGUAGUCCCUGAGCGGGCUGGCAAGGCGCAU
This 447-nucleotide ribosomal RNA is filed under the name uncultured bacterium. RNAcentral's name for it is "bacterial SSU rRNA". It matches the Rfam family "Bacterial small subunit ribosomal RNA", at positions 355 to 825 of the family's 1533-position model. The record is from RNAcentral.